AUUGCACGCUGGCGGCAGGCCUAACACAUGCAAGUCGAACGAGUAGCGGACGGGUGAGUAAUGUCUGGGAAACUGCCUGAUGGAGGGGGAUAACUACUGGAAACGGUAGCUAAUACCGCAUACCAUCGGAUGUGCCCAGAUGGGAUUAGCUAGUAGGUGGGGUAACGGCUCACCUAGGCGACGAUCCCUACCUGGUCUGCGAGGAUGACAAGCAAUAAGGGAACUGAGACAAGGUCCAGACUCCUACGGGAGGCAGCAGUGGGGAAUAUGGCACAAUGGGCGCAAGCCUGAUGCAGCCAUGCCGCGUGUGUGAAGAAGGCCUUCGGGUUGUAAAGCACUUUCAGCGAGGAGGCGUUACUCGCAGAAGAAGCACCGGCUAACUCCGUGCCAGCAGCCGCGGUAAUUC
This 406-nucleotide ribosomal RNA is filed under the name uncultured bacterium. Its description in RNAcentral is "partial 16S ribosomal RNA". It matches the Rfam family "Bacterial small subunit ribosomal RNA", at positions 30 to 526 of the family's 1533-position model. The record is from RNAcentral.